Xenopus laevis (African clawed frog) is the source of this 74-nucleotide non-coding RNA. Lineage: Eukaryota; Metazoa; Chordata; Amphibia; Anura; Pipidae. The record is from Rfam.
GGCGCUGUGGCUUAGUGGGUUAAAGCGCCUGUCUAGUAAACAGGACAUCCUGAGUUCAAAUCUCAGCAGUGCCU